This 429-nucleotide ribosomal RNA is filed under the name Triticum aestivum (bread wheat). Its description in RNAcentral is "partial small subunit ribosomal RNA". Lineage: Eukaryota; Viridiplantae; Streptophyta; Magnoliopsida; Poales; Poaceae. The record is from RNAcentral.
AUGCACAGAUGGAUCAUUCCACCUGGGCCAAGCUGUCACGACGUAUCUGUGUCAAGAUCUAGGGAUUCGAAUUGGUGUACAAGGAGUGUUUGUUCGCUUCAAGAUUUCUGUUUCAUUCGCUCUCUACAUGAGAAUGUGCCAUGCGAUGUUCUUGUUCUGGCCGCUUGCUUUCAAGCGGAGGUGGAUGUGCUGGCAAUUCAAGUUGAACCUUUAUAUUCUGUGGAAAUAUAUAUUUGCCGAUGCUUCUCCAAUGAUAACAUUUCAGUAAUUCCUUUUGGGCAAGCGUACCAUAACUCGUUGCUACUAUGUCUUGCUGGGUGCACUUGUGAUCCAUCGAAGUAUGACAAGUGGGUUGACCAGUCCUCGCGGCCCCAAUGCCACACUGGAAAUGGGAGAUGGCUGGUUGAAUAUGUGCUGAGCACAGGAUGA